This is a long non-coding RNA of Tachysurus vachellii, 633 nucleotides long. RefSeq lists it as uncharacterized. Lineage: Eukaryota; Metazoa; Chordata; Actinopteri; Siluriformes; Bagridae. The record is from RefSeq and is a predicted model, not a curated record. The transcript is spliced from 3 exons.
UAAAACUGAGGAAAACGUCAAGAAAUAAAUCUAUAAAUCUUACAUUGAUUUUCUUUUGAUCGAAGACGGCUUUAAUAACUAGUAUAGUAAGAUUUAUCUGUGGAUAGUGUAUUAAAUUUAUAAACUUUUUUCCAAAUGUAAAUAUUCAAACUUUUAGCAAACGCCACCUGGUGUACAUCAGGAGAAGUGCUCAGGUGUUUCCAGGUGUUCAGUUGGGUGAGAUCUGAUGACUUGAAGACCUUUCACAUCGUUUUCAUUCUCAUCGGUGAAUCCUCUUACCCUGUGGAUAAGGGCAGAGUCAUCCUGGAAGAGACCAAACCCGACGGGAUAGAAACAUUUCACCGUCGGAUAAAGAGGGCCUUGAGCUUCCUCAUUAAUCUCGGCACGACAGCCCUUGACCAUUUGACAGUACGUGUGACUUCCGCAGAACAUGGCUCCUGGACAAAAUCACCCACUGUGCCAGCCACACGAUGAUGGAGACUAUUCCCAAGUUUCCCAAAUGGCUUAGAUGUCCUGAAUUGGCGACACUUUGAAGUGGAUUCCUGUUAAAUUGACUGACGUUAUUACUAUUCCAAGGUGUCACUUACCUGACAACGGACCAAGUGUGGACGGAAACCAAUUAAAAUCUUCCCA